This 463-nucleotide long non-coding RNA is filed under the name Heterocephalus glaber (naked mole-rat). RNAcentral's name for it is "lncRNA (ENSHGLG00100049155.1)". Lineage: Eukaryota; Metazoa; Chordata; Mammalia; Rodentia; Bathyergidae. The record is from RNAcentral.
AUUUUGAGUUAAUUUUUUUAUAUAAACACUAAGAAUGUAUUUCUUGCUGUUCUAUUCUGUAGACCCAUGUCUUAUGCCUUAUGCUACUUUCACCUGGUUUUGAUUACUGUUGUCUCUGCAGGAUCUUUCUUUUUUUGGUACUGGGGAUUGAACUCGGGACCUUGCACUUGCAAGGCCAGCGCUGGAACCACUAAAGCUAAAUCCCCAGCCCACAUUAGGAUUUCUUGAGGACUAGGACGGUGUGGCUAACAGUUUAUGACUGCUACUUAAUAACUCAAGCACAUUUCCUCUUUUUCAACUAAAAAGACACUUAACACAAAAAAAUAAUGUGUGAGCCAAGCCUGGUGGCCAACGCCUGUAAUCUCAGCACUGGGGAGGCUGAGGCAGGAGGAUCCCUGUGAGUUCGAGGCCAGCCUUGGCUACAUAGUGAAUUCAGUGCCAGCCUGAACCACCCAGUAUCAAA